UAAUACAGAGGCCUCGAGCGUUAGGCGGAAUCACUGGGCUUAAAGCGUGUGUAGGCGGAUCGUUAAGUGCCUUGUGAAAUCCCACGGCUCAACCGUGGAACUGCUGGGCAUACUGGCGAUCUUGAGCCACCUAAGGGCAACUGGAACAGACGGUGGAGCGGUGAAAUGCGUAGAUAUCGUCUGGAACGCCAAUGGUGAAGACAGGUUGCUGGGGGUGCGCUGACGCUGAGACACGAAAGCCAGGGGAGCAAACGGGAUUAGAUACCCCGGUAGUCCUGGCCCUAAACUAUGUCCACUAGGUCGUGGGACUUUUGACGGUUCCAUGGCCGAAGUAAAAAUGUUAAGUGGACCGCCUGGGAAGUACGGUCGCAAGGCUA
Molecule: ribosomal RNA, 377 nt
Filed under: uncultured bacterium
Lineage: Bacteria
Description: bacterial SSU rRNA
Rfam family: Bacterial small subunit ribosomal RNA
Source: RNAcentral